AGAAUUUGAUCUUGGUUCAGAACGAACGCUGGCGGCAUGGAUUAGGCAUGCAAGUUGAACGAACUCCUUCGGGAGUGAGUAGCGGAAGGGUGAGGAACGCGUGAGUAAUCUGCCCCCCAGUUGGGAAUAACAGUUGGAAACGACUGCUAAUACCGAAUGUGGCUUAAGCUUCGCCUGGAGCUUUGGCUAAAGAUUUAUCGCUGGGGGAUGAGCUCGCGUCCCAUUAGGUAGUUGGUGAGGUAACGGCUCACCAAGCCGACGAUGGGUAGCUGGUCUGAGAGGAUGGUCAGCCACACUGGGACUGAGACACUGCCCAGACUCCUACGGGAGGCUGCAGUCGAGAAUCUUGGGCAAUGCGCGAAAGCGUGAACCCCCAGCAAUGCCGCGUGUAUGAUGAAGGCCCUCGGGUCGUAAAGUACUGUCUCCCGUGACGAAAUUUGACGGUAGCGGGGAAGGAAGCCACGGCUAACUACGUGCCAGCAGCCGC
Molecule: ribosomal RNA, 487 nt
Filed under: uncultured bacterium
Lineage: Bacteria
Description: bacterial SSU rRNA
Rfam family: Bacterial small subunit ribosomal RNA
Source: RNAcentral